Long non-coding RNA from Corvus hawaiiensis (hawaiian crow), 802 nucleotides. RefSeq lists it as uncharacterized. The record is from RefSeq and is a predicted model, not a curated record. NCBI's taxonomy places the organism in Eukaryota, Metazoa, Chordata, Aves, Passeriformes, Corvidae. The transcript has 3 exons.
UCCAUUGCUUGGGUCUUUCUUGUAUUUCAAAUAUACUGGAAAACAUGCUGAAUGAUUAAAAUGAUUCCUAGACCAACUCAUCUAAAUGCUAGCAUGCAAAUGGAUUGUGUUUGUCACUGUUGAAAAAUCUACCUUUAAUAACUGCUGGAAUGAAUUUACUGUAGCAGUGAAAGUCUAGAGGGGCAGUUCUCUUGCUGUCACAGAUCGACUUAAAAGACCAGAGAGACACGCAGGAAGACAACGAACAGUUCUGUGCAUAUUUAUGGACUUGUUGUGCAUGUGGAAACUUCAAUGAAGCAUUUUAUGGUAUGACGAUAGUGCAAUAGGAAGAACUUGUAUUCAAGAUGAUUAGACAACCACUAACAUAAGGCACUACUGAAUUUCUCAACCCUACGGGCAACAGAAAUGGCAGAGCAGAUUUUAGGGAAAUUUUACACAUUAGUACAUAAACAGUCUGUCAAGAAAUCGCACCCUUCAGAUGUCUGCCUCUGACAGUCUUCAAGACAUUAAAAAAAUCAUAAAUGUGAUUUGCAAUAGAGACAUUUACUAGCCUUAAUAUACAGAGACUGUCAUCACUAGGCAAAUCCAGGAAUGUCAAGUGAAGAUUAUUAGUCUGAAAUACCCAUGCAGCAGACUGGUACGUGUGGCUGUAUGUAACCCAAAAAGUCAUGAACUUCUCUUCUCAAUGACCUGUUUGAUCUUUAGCCCACAAUCCCUUCUAGUAUGGCCCUACAUGCUUUGACAAUGUGUAGACAUAACUGUAAAAAGGAAAAGCAGGGGUCUAUGAAAAGGGUCAGUAAAA